This 793-nucleotide long non-coding RNA is filed under the name Cucumis sativus (cucumber). RNAcentral's name for it is "long non-coding RNA (CSAT_LNC002517)". Lineage: Eukaryota; Viridiplantae; Streptophyta; Magnoliopsida; Cucurbitales; Cucurbitaceae. The record is from RNAcentral.
CAUUUUCUUGAACACAUAAUAGUCCGAUAUGAAUGCAUCUCAUCAUUUCAAAAGUAGAACCAUCUUUUAGUUUUGGAUCUAUCACGUUUACCGGUAUUCCUGCCUUCCAGUUUUUCCAUGCCUGAAAAAUUAAAAACGUUAAUUUUAGUACUUGAAGUACUAUACAAUUUGAUUUUUAUAUAACACCGAAAGAUUGUUGUUUAGAAUUGGUAUAUAUAAUCACAAAGCUGGUGAGAUCUUCCACUUUUUUUCCAUUGCGAAAACAAAUAUUUUUCUGGCCAAAACUAAAUACGUCUGAUUUCACUGAAAAUUGUCCAUCCAAUGCAUACUCUGGAGCCAUAUAUCCGCUGAAUAUUUAUGGAGGUAUUUUUAAAAAUAAUAAAAUAAAUUAAAAUAUUUAACCCGCUAUAUAGAAUCUUGUAUUAUGUAAGAAUAUAAAUGUUAAUAAAAUCUGAAUUUUUCUACUAUUAAACUACUUACAAAUAUUAAAUAUUACUUAAUUUUUUUUAUAGAUACCUUAUAAAAACGAUAAAGUAAUAAGACUAUGGGAACUCGAACCAAGUGGCUCUCUUAAAUCUGCCGGUGAUUAUAAGUAUUUAUAAAUAAUGGGAUAAAAGCUAAAAUUUUAUUAUAUUUUGUUUAAAAUGUGAUGACAAAGCUGGAGUUUGUGUUGGAGGCAAAGAUGGAAAGGGAACAUUAUCAGGCGACGGUGCGAUGGGAGAUGGAAGUAUGGCGGCAUAAAUAGGAACAAUCUCAUAGUUGAGUUGGCAACUACCUGCCAUGAAUCUAGCCC